This 253-nucleotide ribosomal RNA is filed under the name uncultured bacterium. RNAcentral describes it as "partial 16S ribosomal RNA". It matches the Rfam family "Bacterial small subunit ribosomal RNA", at positions 524 to 776 of the family's 1533-position model. The record is from RNAcentral.
GACAGAGGAUGCAAGCGUUAUCCGGAAUGAUUGGGCGUAAAGCGUCUGUAGGUGGCUUUUCAAGUCCGCCGUCAAAUCCCAGGGCUCAACCCCGGGAGGCGGAUGGAUACUGCUUGGCUCGAGUCCGGAAGAGGCGAGUGGAAUUCCCGGUGUAGCGGUGAAAUGCGCAGAUAUCGGGAGGAACACCAAUGGCGAAGGCAGCUCGCUGGGACGGUACUGACGCUGAGACGCGAAAGCGUGGGGAGCAAACAGG